AUCUCCCCCGCCCCCGCCCCUCUUAGCCUAGGUAGCCCCACUGAGAAUUCUAGACAAGUAUUGAACUGAAGUUGUAUUACUGUGAGAGAAAGGGGGCGGGGGAUGGCGAUGGGAGAGAGAAAGAGAUCUACGGACCCUCUGGAUGGCCGGAGCAGACACUACAGUCUUCACCAGAGGCAGCCCCAUAAAAAUGUCAUCGUCUCGGGCUCUCCCCGCAUUACAACACAAUGAUUUCUUUGGGGAGGAGAAAAAAAAACUAAGAUUUAUUUUGCAACCACACCUCCGCCUCCCUUGGAAGAGAAAUACUGACCAACAACAAGUUGUGAAUGAAAUGUCUGCAGAUCGGCCCCCCUCGCCCAGCCUGAGAACUUUCCAGACGGAAAGGCGCACACGUGCACACAGCACCAGCUGAGCCGAUUUGUGCUGCUCUCAGCAGCCACCGGGGAUGGAGGAACCGCUCAAGGAUCUCCAGAGUGCGAGCCUGGUUCGGGACAAAGUUGCCCAACCUAGUGGUGUGAGCCACGUAAGGAGCUGGGGAGAGGGGAGUCUGUCCCCAAGACAAUGACAGCAUCUAGGGCUCAGUGCCAGGCUCCCGGGAGAAGCAAACAAGCCAUGGCUUUAGGGAGGGGUGCAGGCUCAUUAGAGAGCCCACUGAAGUGUUACCACCAUGCAGAGAGGAGGGGUGAGAGGGCACGGCUCUCCUCUGCCAGUUUUUUUCUCUUGGGACGGGGAAGCAGUGCUGCUUGGAAAAUAGCAAACUCAAACCUUCCCCCCAAAUGCCAGAAAUGUUCCCGGGAGUCCAGGCCACAAGGACAGUGUGUGCAAUGGCUUGGACCAGGCCAGAGCUGUUCUCCCUCCCCUUAAACUAUGCAUAAAAAGGAGGUUCCCCCACAUGCUCCUCCUGGGAUCUUUCUGGGGUUAUCCCACAUGAACCCGCUUAGAUUGCCUUUGAGGAAACAGAGAAGUGAAGAUCCCCCAUCCACUCCCCAUUUUGGAAAAGUGGACAUCAAGGCCCAGAGAAGGGACAGGACCAGCCCAAUGACCAACAGAGUCACCAGUGACUCUGGGGCUAUGCCUAGGACUCUGUCUCCAGUCUACUGUUCAUUCCCAAGGACAAGCCCACAACACAGUAGCAGCACCUGCAGAUGGAAAGCCUUCGAUCUCAAUGUCACCUGUUUGCCGCUUUCUGCAUAAGUAAUGUCAUUGUUGGAAUGAGUUUAUGAUGGUCUCCAUCCCCAUUUCUAUGAGCUGUGAGCAAGACAUCUGCUGCAUAGCUCACGUGUGUUCAGGCCUCCCUGGACCAGCAGCUCUGACUCACACACGCACAGAACGAUAACGCAGAUGGGAGCAUGCGCCUGGAAGGCCACCCUGCUGCACAGCACACUGACUGAGCAAGAACAAAGACCGUAAAUGAAGAAGGAUGUUUGCAUUCUGCUCCUCGCUUGCCUGAAAACAGGAAACUUUGGAGACCUGUUCUGGCAAGGUUUCCACCUCUUCCUCACCCCAAAGGGAACUGUGUGUGUUCUGAUGGUUCAAUGGGGAAAUGAGGAUCGAUCAUGAGUGAUUUUCCCGAAAUGCAACCUGUGCAGGUCUUGCCUUCCUCAAGCACCUGCGAGGAGAAGUCGUCACUAGUGGGGAAUUCCAGCAGGUGACCCAAUCGAGACAGCUGGGCAGGCUCCUGGAGCUGAUGGCUUGGGAAGGAGGGAGUCAGAAGUGGCAGGCCCAUGGAGGGCCUUCAACUCAUUGGAUGAAGCCCACCCUUAUUCCCAAGGAUAAUCUCCUUUACUCAAGGUCAACUGAUUGUUGAUGUUAAUGACAUCCACAAAAUGUCUUCACAGCAACGGGAUUGCUUCACAGUAAUGGGAUUGCUGGGUCAAAUGGUAAUUAUCCUUAUGAUUUUCUUAAUACCAUUGUCUUUUCUCUACCUUACUUUAUUGUAGUAAUACAGUAUAUAGUACCUAU
This 1962-nucleotide long non-coding RNA is filed under the name Homo sapiens (human). RNAcentral's name for it is "long independently transcribed non-coding RNA 2003 (LINC02003)". Lineage: Eukaryota; Metazoa; Chordata; Mammalia; Primates; Hominidae. The record is from RNAcentral.